GGAGAGAUGCCAGAGUGGUUGAAUGGGGCGGUCUCGAAAACCGUUGGACUAAUUUUUUAGUUCCGAGGGUUCGAAUCCCUCUCUCUCCG
Molecule: transfer RNA, 89 nt
Filed under: Ignavibacteriales bacterium CG_4_9_14_3_um_filter_30_11
Lineage: Bacteria; Pseudomonadati; Ignavibacteriota; Ignavibacteria; Ignavibacteriales
Description: tRNA-Ser
Rfam family: tRNA
About the family: Transfer RNA (tRNA) molecules are approximately 80 nucleotides in length. Their secondary structure includes four short double-helical elements and three loops (D, anti-codon, and T loops).
Source: RNAcentral